RNAcentral lists this small RNA (30 nucleotides) under Bombyx mori (domestic silkworm). RNAcentral describes it as "ovarian small RNA-9980". Lineage: Eukaryota; Metazoa; Arthropoda; Insecta; Lepidoptera; Bombycidae. The record is from RNAcentral.
AAACGAUGUCCCGCAGCUGUUGAGGCUGAU